GGGAACUCACCCAGCGCAUCCGACUGCACCAGGGUUUUUGUGAGCAGUGUCUUGCACCAAACUCCUGUCUCCUCCUGUGACUUAGAAUGCCUAACUUCCUGGGAAUGCAGCACAGGUCUCAGCCUCAUUUUGCCCAGCCCCUAUUCAAGACGGAUUUGCUGUGGUUCAAAUGCUUCUGACAAUAUUCCUCAUGGUGAAUGCUGGAUUUUGCAUGCCCGAGGCCCUGGGCCACACUGUAUGUUUGCUUUUUGCAAGGGCUGUAUGGCUAUGACUAGUUAUGUGGACCCUGCAUUCCUAUGUAAAUGACCCUCCAUAAAAACCCCAGAAAUGAAUGCUUGAGUGAACUUCCCUGGCUUGUAUUAUAAUACUGUGAACAUCUUGUCACACAUCUUUGCUGGGGGAAUUAAGUGUGUCCCUAUGUGACCGUAAUGGGAGAUAACACCCAGAGUUUUGUGCCUGCUUUCAUGUGGACUUCAUUCUAUGUGAUUUUUCCCUUUGGUGAUCCUGGUCUAUAUCCUUUUAUUGUAAUAAACUAUAACCAUAACAGC
This 548-nucleotide long non-coding RNA is filed under the name Homo sapiens (human). Its description in RNAcentral is "HSALNT0398950". The record is from RNAcentral. Lineage: Eukaryota; Metazoa; Chordata; Mammalia; Primates; Hominidae.